CAGGAAUGUGUAAAGUACCCUGGAGAAGAGAAAUAAAAGGGAUAGCAGGAAUGUGUAAAGUACCCUGGAGAAGAGAAAUAAAAGGGAUAGCAGGAAUGUGUAAAGUACCCUGGAGAAGAGAAAUAAAAGGGAUAGCAGGAAUGUGUAAAGUACCCUGGAGAAGAGAAAUAAAAG
Protopterus annectens (West African lungfish) is the source of this 174-nucleotide long non-coding RNA. RefSeq lists it as uncharacterized. The transcript has 5 exons. Lineage: Eukaryota; Metazoa; Chordata; Ceratodontiformes; Protopteridae. The record is from RefSeq and is a predicted model, not a curated record.